RNAcentral lists this long non-coding RNA (211 nucleotides) under Panax ginseng (ginseng). RNAcentral's name for it is "long non-coding RNA (PGIN_LNC017261)". The record is from RNAcentral. Lineage: Eukaryota; Viridiplantae; Streptophyta; Magnoliopsida; Apiales; Araliaceae.
GGGUCUGAGCUCGAACAUAGGCCACCAAGAACUGAUCGGGAGAGUACCCUUUAAACCGGUCGUCGUCACCAGGUAGUUUGAAGUGAUCGAAGAGGGUAAAAGGGAAGACCUCCGACGGGCUCUUGGGCCAACAGGUGGUCGGUGAUCCCCGAGAAGAGCUGGGACCGGAAGGAGGAGUGGCGGAACGGUCCAGACCGGGGACCACCAUCUC